GAUGAACGCUGGCGGCGUGCCUAAUACAUGCAAGUCGAGCGAACAGACGAGGAGCUUGCUCCUCUGACGUUAGCGGCGGACGGGUGAGUAACACGUGGAUAACCUACCUAUAAGACUGGGAUAACUUCGGGAAACCGGAGCUAAUACCGGAUAACAUGUUGAACCGCAUGGUUCAACAGUGAAAGACGGUCUUGCUGUCACUUAUAGAUGGAUCCGCGCCGCAUUAGCUAGUUGGUAAGGUAACGGCUUACCAAGGCAACGAUGCGUAGCCGACCUGAGAGGUUGAUCGGCCACACGGGAACUGAGACACGGUCCAGACUCCUACGGGAGGCAGCAGUAGGGAAUCUUCCGCAAUGGGCGAAAGCCUGACGGAGCAACGCCGCGUGAGUGAAGAAGGUCUUCGGAUCGUAAAACUCUGUUAUUAGGAAGAACAAAUGUGUAAGUAACUAUGCACGUCUUGACGGUACCUAAUCAGAAAGCCACGGCUAACUACGUG
RNAcentral lists this ribosomal RNA (496 nucleotides) under uncultured bacterium. Its description in RNAcentral is "partial 16S ribosomal RNA". It matches the Rfam family "Bacterial small subunit ribosomal RNA", at positions 28 to 507 of the family's 1533-position model. The record is from RNAcentral.